Molecule: long non-coding RNA, 557 nt
Organism: Nelumbo nucifera (sacred lotus)
Lineage: Eukaryota; Viridiplantae; Streptophyta; Magnoliopsida; Proteales; Nelumbonaceae
Source: RefSeq, a predicted model, not a curated record
UGAGAAGAUGGGCCACCCAAAAAGUUAUGCGAGCCUGAAAAUCCCCAAAAUUGAGAAGCUCCAACUCGAGCCAAGAAGUGCAGUCAGUAUUGAGAAAAUAAUAGGAGAUCUUCGAAGAAAACCCUCAUUCCUCAACGUCCAUGCUUCUCUUCAACGUAGUAAGUAACUAAGAAUUCAAAGUAAAAGAAGAGAGAAAGCGAUGGCAAACAAGAUUGUGGCAGUGUUGGUGGUAUGCAUGGUUCUUUUUGCUGCGGUGCAAUUCUCCGAGGCAGCAGAUGAAGGUGCUGAUCCUAAGUACGUAGAAUGUCUCUACAAGUGCGGGGACGAUUGCAAGGGUGGGGAGGAAAAGUCUGCCUGUGACGCCAAGUGCGACCAGGAGUGCAAGGAUAAGGUCAAACUUGGUUAAUACCUGAGCAGUAGCGGACAAUAAAGCUGAAGUCAUGGACAACAACCACGUACCUUGAACGAGUACAGAGAGAUUAACCAAUAAAGCAACAACAGUACAGCUAGAGGAAGUUCCUUACAUAUGUUUCUCAUUCCCAUGUCGUAAAUGGUGC